This 623-nucleotide ribosomal RNA is filed under the name Vibrio cholerae. RNAcentral's name for it is "partial 23S ribosomal RNA". It matches the Rfam family "Bacterial large subunit ribosomal RNA", at positions 1 to 673 of the family's 2925-position model. Lineage: Bacteria; Pseudomonadati; Pseudomonadota; Gammaproteobacteria; Vibrionales; Vibrionaceae. The record is from RNAcentral.
UGUAUGGUUAAGUGACUAAGCGUACACGGUGGAUGCCUGGGCAGUCAGAGGCGAUGAAGGACGUACUAACUUGCGAUAAGCGCAGAUAAGGCAGUAAGAGCCGUUUGAGUCUGCGAUUUCCGAAUGGGGAAACCCAACUGCAUAAGCAGUUACUGUUAACUGAAUACAUAGGUUAACAGAGCAAACCGGGGGAACUGAAACAUCUAAGUACCCCGAGGAGAAGAAAUCAACCGAGAUUCCGGUAGUAGCGGCGAGCGAACCUGGAUUAGCCCUUAAGCACUCGGUGAAGUAGGUGAACAAGCUGGAAAGCUUGGCGAUACAGGGUGAUAGCCCCGUAACCGACGCUUCAUCGAGCGUGAAAUCGAGUAGGGCGGGACACGUGAUAUCCUGUCUGAAUAUGGGGGGACCAUCCUCCAAGGCUAAAUACUCCUGACUGACCGAUAGUGAACCAGUACCGUGAGGGAAAGGCGAAAAGAACCCCUGUGAGGGGAGUGAAAUAGAACCUGAAACCGUGUACGUACAAGCAGUAGGAGCACCUUCGUGGUGUGACUGCGUACCUUUUGUAUAAUGGGUCAGCGACUUAUAUUCAGUGGCAAGGUUAACCGUAUAGGGGAGCCGUAGCG